RNAcentral lists this ribosomal RNA (253 nucleotides) under uncultured bacterium. RNAcentral describes it as "partial 16S ribosomal RNA". It matches the Rfam family "Bacterial small subunit ribosomal RNA", at positions 524 to 776 of the family's 1533-position model. The record is from RNAcentral.
UACAGAGGGUGCGAGCGUUAAUCGGAAUUACUGGGCGUAAAGCGCACGUAGGUGGCGACGUAAGUCGGGUGUGAAAGCCCCGGGCUCAACCUGGGAAUUGCAUUCGAGACUGCAUUGCUGGAGUACGGAAGAGGAAGGCGGAAUUCCCGGUGUAGCGGUGAAAUGCGUAGAGAUCGGGAGGAAGGCCGGUGGCGAAGGCGGCGCUCUGGAACACUUCUGACGCUGAGGCUUGAAAGCGUGGGGAGCAAACAGG